This 143-nucleotide non-coding RNA is filed under the name Massilia sp. 9I. RNAcentral describes it as "FMN". It matches the Rfam family "FMN riboswitch aptamer (RFN element)". From Rfam's summary of the family: The RFN element is a highly conserved domain that is found frequently in the 5'-untranslated regions of prokaryotic mRNAs that encode for flavin mononucleotide (FMN) biosynthesis and transport proteins. This element is a metabolite-dependent riboswitch that directly binds FMN in the absence of proteins. The record is from RNAcentral. Lineage: Bacteria; Pseudomonadati; Pseudomonadota; Betaproteobacteria; Burkholderiales; Oxalobacteraceae.
AUACGUCUUCGGGGCGGGGUGAAAUUCCCCACCGGCGGUAUGGCCUGAAAUGGGCCGAGCCCGCGAGCGCCUGUGCAAGCAGGGUCAGCAGAUCUGGUGAGAUGCCAGGGCCGACGGUAUAGUCCGGAUGAAAGAAGAUGUGC